This 530-nucleotide ribosomal RNA is filed under the name uncultured Planctomycetota bacterium. RNAcentral describes it as "bacterial SSU rRNA". It matches the Rfam family "Bacterial small subunit ribosomal RNA", at positions 356 to 896 of the family's 1533-position model. Lineage: Bacteria; Pseudomonadati; Planctomycetota. The record is from RNAcentral.
CGAGAAUCUUCGGCAAUGGGCGAAGCCUGACCGAGCGACGCCGCGUGUGCGAUGAAGGCCUUCGGGGUUGUAAAGCACUGUCGUGGGGGAGAAAAGCCGCAAGGCUUGAUCGACCCCAGGAGGAAGCACGGGCUAAGUUCGUGCCAGCAGCCGCGGUAAGACGAACCGUGCGAACGUUAUUCGGAAUCACUGGGCUUAAAGGGCGCGUAGGCGGGCCGGCAAGUCCGGGGUGAAAGCCCCCAGCUCAACUGGGGAAGUGCCUCGGAUACUGCCGGCCUCGAGGGAGUAGGGGCGUGCGGAACUUCCGGUGGAGCGGUGAAAUGCGUAGAUAUCGGAAGGAACACCGGUGGCGAAAGCGGCGCGCUGGACCUCUUCUGACGCUGAGGCGCGAAAGCCAGGGGAGCGAACGGGAUUAGAUACCCCGGUAGUCCUGGCCCUAAACGUUGGGUACUAGGUUGUGGACUUACAUGGGUUCACAGCCGAAGCAAAAGUAUUUAGUACCCCGCCUGGGGAGUAUGGUCGCAAGGCUG